This 659-nucleotide ribosomal RNA is filed under the name uncultured fungus. RNAcentral describes it as "eukaryotic LSU rRNA". The stretch from base 261 to 414 matches the Rfam family "5.8S ribosomal RNA". Lineage: Eukaryota; Fungi. The record is from RNAcentral.
UCUUGGUCAUUUAGAGGAAGUAAAAGUCGUAACAAGGUUUCCGUAGGUGAACCUGCGGAAGGAUCAUUAUUGAGUAUUGAGAGUGUUCUUGUCUGGUCACCCGACUGGCACCACUCUUCUUCUCUCUACCCUUUAUUAUUUCUUAACCAGUUGCUUUGGCAGUUGUCGGUUGAUGGCUGUCAAGGGACCUUUUGAAACCCUUUGCAAUCUAAUAGUAGAUAAUUCUUAUGUCUGAUUUUUAGUUACUUAAUAGUAUUUAAAACUUUCAACAAUGGAUCUCUUGGUUCUGGCAUCGAUGAAGAACGCAGCCAAAUGCGAUAAGUAAUGUGAAUUGCAGAAUUCCGUGAAUCAUCGAAUUUUUGAACGCAUAUUGCGCCUUGUGGUAAUCCACAAGGCAUGCCUGUCUGAGCGUCAUUACAUCAUUCAAGUAGAAAUUUUUUUUACUUGGUCUUGGAAUUUGACUUGCCUUUGGUAAUGUCUGGUCUGUAAUGUAUGAUUGGAGUCUAUUGACACUUUUAUUUGUAGUAUAUACCAUCGACUUUAAAAGACUCUAGACCUGGUCACCUUUCACAUCAGCCAAACGGUUGAAAUUUUGUAAAGUUUGACCUCGGAUCAAGUGGGGCUACCCGCUGAACUUAAGCAUAUCAAUAAACGGAGGA